Geomicrobium sp. JCM 19038 is the source of this 77-nucleotide regulatory RNA element. The record is from Rfam. Lineage: Bacteria; Bacillati; Bacillota; Bacilli; Caryophanales.
CCCAAACUACAACCGCGCAGAAGGGGUACGAAGUUCACAUUUGUUGAACACCUUGGAUGGCGAGUCUUAGAAAUCGG